UUCAUCUCUAAAAUCAGCCUUUAAUAUAAGCUGUCAGCUGCAUAUGCACAUUAUGUUCUUACUAACUAGCUAGCUUUCUGGAAUCCGACGUCAAACUGCUGAUGAUGAUGUUGAUGAUGGGUUCUGCCGGUUGAGGCUAACGGCUAGCUAGAUACCGUUGUACCGUUGUACAACUUAUAAAAGCACAGACACUAAACAUUACACGGAAUGGAUAUAACGAGCUCUUUCUCCUGCAUGAACCAUUCACACUGGUUGGGUGAAUAGUUCUAAGAUAAUUUGUCAUUUGUACACACUGAAUUUGAAUAUCA
This is a long non-coding RNA of Cyclopterus lumpus (lumpfish), 308 nucleotides long. RefSeq lists it as uncharacterized. The transcript has 2 exons. Lineage: Eukaryota; Metazoa; Chordata; Actinopteri; Perciformes; Cyclopteridae. The record is from RefSeq and is a predicted model, not a curated record.